ACAUUGGUGGUUCAUUGGUAGAAUUAUCACCUUCCAUGCGGUAGACCCAGGUUUGAUUCCUGGCCAGUGCC
RNAcentral lists this transfer RNA (71 nucleotides) under Loxodonta africana (African savanna elephant). It matches the Rfam family "tRNA". From Rfam's summary of the family: Transfer RNA (tRNA) molecules are approximately 80 nucleotides in length. Their secondary structure includes four short double-helical elements and three loops (D, anti-codon, and T loops). The record is from Rfam by way of RNAcentral. Lineage: Eukaryota; Metazoa; Chordata; Mammalia; Proboscidea; Elephantidae.